This 588-nucleotide ribosomal RNA is filed under the name Triticum aestivum (bread wheat). RNAcentral's name for it is "partial small subunit ribosomal RNA". Lineage: Eukaryota; Viridiplantae; Streptophyta; Magnoliopsida; Poales; Poaceae. The record is from RNAcentral.
AUGGCUGCUCUUCUGGCGCCCGCCAUCUCCGGAGAGGUUGGUUUGCGGCUUUUACUGGCACCACUAAGCUCAAAUGUUGUCAUCCGCACAGCCAGUUGUGCGGUGGGCAUUGGUCUACCUGUAUACUCCACGUACAGGGCUAUAGAAAAGAAAGAUCAAGAUGAGAAAGAACGGUUGCUCCUUUAUUGGGCAGCAUAUGGAUCUUUUAGCAUUGUGGAAUCCUUUGCUGAUAAGCUUGUUUCAAGUGUUCCUCUCUAUUACCAUGCGAAAUUUGCUAUCCUUAUAUGGCUCCAGUUUCCUUCAAAUGGUGGAUCAAAGCAUGUGUACAGAAGAUACCUGCGCCCGUUUUUCCGGAAGCAUCAAGCAAAAAUUGAUAGAAUCCUGAAUAUUUUGUCCAAGGAACUUACAAAGUUCGUGAGCAACCAUGAAGAUGAAAUUCGUUUUGUAGAGAACAUGGCCAUCAGGGGUGCUACAACAGCAAAUUACAUCGUAAAUGGGCUUGACCAACCUGGACAAUCAGAAGAAGUUAGCGUGACUGAAGACCCAAAUUCAACUCCGACAGAAGAGCCAGACACACCUAGGAGUUGA